AAUUCUCAACUCCUCCAGCUUUUGUUAAGUUGGCUUUGGAGCUUGGAUUGUGGAGGUUUGCUGGCCCUUCUAUUGACUGGGUUCAGCUCCUCUGAAAUACAUUAGCGGAACCGUUUGCAAUCCGCCACAGGUGUGAUAAUUAUCUACGCCAGUGGGUUGCUCUCUGUGUUCGGCUGCCAAUCGUCUCUGCUUCAAGAGACAAUUUUCUGAAU
This 212-nucleotide unclassified non-coding RNA is filed under the name uncultured Chlorophyllum. RNAcentral describes it as "sequence contains ITS2". The record is from RNAcentral. Lineage: Eukaryota; Fungi; Basidiomycota; Agaricomycetes; Agaricales; Agaricaceae.